This is a long non-coding RNA of Musca domestica (house fly), 1140 nucleotides long. RefSeq lists it as uncharacterized. The record is from RefSeq and is a predicted model, not a curated record. The transcript has 3 exons. Lineage: Eukaryota; Metazoa; Arthropoda; Insecta; Diptera; Muscidae.
AAAAAUUCGCCAUUCUAAAGAAUAUUUCUCGUGAAAUUGUUCAUCACGAUUCGCCAACAUGAUAUUUGCCCAAACAAGGGUUAAUUGAUAACCUUUUGCACAGCUAUGACUGCAAAUAAAAUCAAGCAAAAAAAUGAAUAUAAAAGUUACAAUUGUUCAUUUAAAACCAAGACGAAUGUUAAUUUCUGUUUUCGUUUUCUUGUCAUACGCCACCGUAGGAAUUGUCGGCAUUUUAUUUGUGUUCAUUGGUUCACAUCGUGAUAAUCGUAAAACGUAUUCAAAUUAUUAUUAAUUUCAAUUUUUCGCUCUCUUCUUUAAUUUCGUUUGACAUUAACGCCAUUACUUGGGUUGUUACAAUGGCUGCGUCUUCAAUUGUACGCGACAGGCCGUCAGAACACAGGCUGCAACCACAUUUAUGUUGAAAUUUUCGGAUAGAGAUAUUUUCCCCACUUUGGCUCCAAUAGCUGAGGGCGUAUUUCUUGCCACCCUGUAUUCAGAAAUGAACAUACAUACCUACAACAAAGUUCAAGCCAUAUUCAGAUAUGACAGCGAAAAAAAAUGAAAACAUUUUCAGCUGGGUUUCUUUCUAAUUUAUGCACGAAAUGGAAAAGUUCAAAAUCAUUCUCGUCUUUCAUGGCACACUAUAUCCCGCUGUUCGUCCGUCCGUCAUUCAAUUCAAUCGCUUGCCAGCUAGCUCACCCCAUCCAGUGUCUCCCGUAUUUGGCACAUCAUGUUUAUUGUCGUUGACAGUUUUCUGUCUCUAUUUGCUGGUGUUGUUGGCAUUGUUGUUGUGUCAUUUUGGUUUGUUGUUUUGUAUUUUUUGUAUUUUUUCUUUUUUUUUUUUUGCUUUUGUUGUGUUGAAAUUUAAUCGUGCUGUGAAUUAAAUUGACAACUAACCGAUGGCCAGGCGGACGAUGUGCAAGAUAUGUAGUUAUAAUGCGAACAAUUGUAAUGCGAGUGGUUUCUUGAAAAUAUUUUUAGUGGUAAUAUGGCGCCCAAAUAUUUUUGAGCCUUUUAAAGAACAGCGGAAUGUCCCUAUGUACGAUAUAUGCAAAAACAAGCAGGCACACAACUAAGAUAGGUAUAUUAGGUAUUAGAAUCUGCAAAUUGCUAAAAAAAAGCAUUAUGGUACUAUUAACA